Molecule: ribosomal RNA, 253 nt
Filed under: uncultured bacterium
Lineage: Bacteria
Description: partial 16S ribosomal RNA
Rfam family: Bacterial small subunit ribosomal RNA
Source: RNAcentral
UACGAAGGGGGCUAGCGUUGCUCGGAAUCACUGGGCGUAAAGGGUGCGUAGGCGGGUCUUUAAGUCAGGGGUGAAAUCCUGGAGCUCAACCCCAGAACUGCCUUUGAUACUGAAGAUCUUGAGUUCGGGAGAGGUGAGUGGAACUGCGAGUGUAGAGGUGAAAUUCGUAGAUAUUCGCAAGAACACCAGUGGCGAAGGCGGCUCACUGGCCCGAUACUGACGCUGAGGCACGAAAGCGUGGGGAGCAAACAGG